RNAcentral lists this ribosomal RNA (166 nucleotides) under Veronica mampodrensis. RNAcentral's name for it is "5.8S ribosomal RNA". It matches the Rfam family "5.8S ribosomal RNA". Rfam says of the family: 5.8S ribosomal RNA (5.8S rRNA) is a component of the large subunit of the eukaryotic ribosome. It is transcribed by RNA polymerase I as part of the 45S precursor that also contains 18S and 28S rRNA. RNAcentral also lists the same sequence under 1 other name. Lineage: Eukaryota; Viridiplantae; Streptophyta; Magnoliopsida; Lamiales; Plantaginaceae. The record is from RNAcentral.
CUAAACGACUCUCGGCAACGGAUAUCUCGGCUCUCGCAUCGAUGAAGAACGUAGCGAAAUGCGAUACUUGGUGUGAAUUGCAGAAUCCCGUGAACCAUCGAGUCUUUGAACGCAAGUUGCGCCCGAAGCCUUCUGGCUGAGGGCACGCCUGCCUGGGCGUCACGCA